CCCAGCACCACCAAACUGCCACUGCUGGACUCUUGAGCAAGGCCCAUAACCUUCAACUGCUCAGAGAUUAUUGUUAACUGCUCUGGAUAAGGGCGUCUGCCAAAUGCUGUAAAUGUAUAUAAAAAAAUAAAAAAUGUAAAAGGUGCUAUAACCUAGAUAGUAAAUGGAUGGCGAGGUCUUUAGAGAUUUGGAAAAAGAAUGGUGGCAUGGAUGGGGCCAUGACACUGAAGUAGCAAGAACUUACAAGCGUUUUCAGAGCUCAGAUAAGGAUGUGGCCUUAACGCUGCAGGCCAAAGCUGGUGUCUGUGUGUAGUUCUGAAGCAAAGCACAAAGAUAUAGUUGUGCAGAGCCUUUAAAGCCUGGAUUUCCGUGAUAAAAGUUUUCAAUUUGAGAUUUCAGUGGGGGAUUUAAUGAUAAAUGAUAUCUGUAUUCUCUUCUGGUUUCCUUGCACCUCACAAAAACAUGCCAGUAAGUGGGGUGGCUAGUCUAAAAAUAAACCGCCCCUAAGUGAGAUUGAGAGUGUGUGCACGCUGCCAUGUGAUGGACUGGUGUCCCAGCCAGGAUGUAAUCCUGCCCAGGGCUGUAACCAGGAUCAGACUUUUAGUGGUGGUCGAGAUUGCAGAAAUAUGUACCAUUUCAUAACAUUUACAACAAGAAUUUAAAGUGUGCUGUAACCGUCCUCCUCGGCUGCUCUGAGGUCAGUUGAGAACCAGUCAUCACUACUGAUUGAAUGGUCAUGGAAUGCAAGUUUUUAUGCGGAGUAGGCUACAUUCUGCCAAUGCGUUAACACAGCAUCGCUGUUUCCAUAUUAAAUUUGGCAACUAGAGGCUAAAAAAAAAAAAAAAAAAAAACACUUUUGAAACUACUGAGGUCUGUUCUCACAGCUAGUCAUGUUCCUGCCUUGCGUGGGACAAGAGUUAAUCAAAAACUGACCCAUGUGGAACUUAUAACUUAUAGCAAGACUAUGUGGUGAUGAAGCAUCCUCUCCAGGUGAUGUGUUCAGAUUGUUCACAUUGAUACCUACACACACUCUACACUUUCUUAAGAACAAUAAUACUGGUAUAAACAGCCUCAAUUCUUUGUGGCAUGGAUUCCAGAUGAUGUCGGAAACAUUCGGUUGAGAUUCUGGUCCAUGUUGACAUGAUUGCAUCGUGCAGUUUUUUUCAGGUGCUGCGAAUCUCACGUUCUACCACAUCCCGAAGGUGUUCUAUUGGAUUCAGAUCCGGUGACUGGGAAGGCCACUGAAGAACACUGAACUCGUUGUCAGAAAUCAAGAUCCAGACCUUCAACUGUCCAGUUUUGGUGAACCUGUGC
This is a long non-coding RNA of Ictalurus punctatus (channel catfish), 1314 nucleotides long. The record is from Ensembl. NCBI's taxonomy places the organism in Eukaryota, Metazoa, Chordata, Actinopteri, Siluriformes, Ictaluridae.